UACUUAUUGAACACUUUUCACUGUUAUUGCGUCUUUUUCGAGUUUAAAUUAAAAUUCUGUUCGAAGGCGAGUGUCCAAUGCAUGGUGAAGAAACGCACUGAGCACACAACGGUUUCCUUUUGGAUCUAAUUAGAAGCACAAAAGCGGCUUCUGCAACGGCAACAGCAAUGAGGCGAUGCGAUGCGAUGAGCUUGGCUCGCAUCUAAGCGCAUUAAGUAUGCGCCUCGUGCGCCAAUUAAGUUGAGUCAGCUUCGUGUCAGCAUCAACAUUGGCGUCAGCAGCGUUGUCAGCUCCGUUGGUCUGCCGCGUGCCGCUUAGCGUUUGUAAAUCUCUUAAUCGCUGCGGACUUCAGGUGUGCCAGGAGAUUGUUCCAAGGUUUAUUGCAUUGUGCUUCGAUCCUAGAGGAAAAAAAUUAUAAAUAUAAAACAAUUAAAAUAUGCCUCUAAGUAACUCAAUUAUAAACCUAAGCGGGAACAUUAAGUAUUAUUAGAAUACAACAAUUGUGG
This is a long non-coding RNA of Drosophila albomicans, 506 nucleotides long. RefSeq lists it as uncharacterized. The record is from RefSeq and is a predicted model, not a curated record. The transcript has 3 exons. NCBI's taxonomy places the organism in Eukaryota, Metazoa, Arthropoda, Insecta, Diptera, Drosophilidae.